AAUACCCUGCCUUGUUCGCUAACAGGCACAAAUCUCUAACCUUCUAUGCUUCAAGGGAGCUUGAAUGCGGCGUGGAGCGGAUCCUAACGGAUCCCAGAAGCGCCGACUAGAGCACCCACCUCGUAUACCGAGGUCCAGAGAUUAACGCCAGUACGACUUCGGUGGGGUAUUU
RNAcentral lists this non-coding RNA (172 nucleotides) under Verrucomicrobiota bacterium. RNAcentral describes it as "Verrucomicrobia bacterium (marine metagenome) 6S RNA". It matches the Rfam family "6S / SsrS RNA". Rfam says of the family: E. coli 6S RNA was the first non coding RNA to be sequenced, but its function was unknown until recently. The record is from RNAcentral. Lineage: Bacteria; Pseudomonadati; Verrucomicrobiota.